Molecule: long non-coding RNA, 936 nt
Organism: Dendronephthya gigantea
Lineage: Eukaryota; Metazoa; Cnidaria; Anthozoa; Malacalcyonacea; Nephtheidae
Exons: 4
Source: RefSeq, a predicted model, not a curated record
AUGUAGUGGACUGACAAAAAUGGCCAUUAGGCGAUUAGACUACAGAUUCGUGAGUAAACAGACUAAUUUUAAAUUUAAAUAAUCUUUGCUUUUAUACACAAAUCUUUGCAGCACUUGAAUUCAUCACAGAAAAAAGUUCGAAAUUAAUUAAAUGUUAACUUGUAGCGUGUAAUCAACGUCAUUAAUCUAAAAUGCAUGUAACGAAUGCAUAAUAUACAAACUCAAAUUAAUGAGAAUUUUACACUGUAGCUACUAAUCUAUGUUAUUAAGAUUUGGAUCCUGCGUGUAAUUUUCAAAAUCUUUUCACAAACUGUCAUACGUGGAAGCGUCGGCCGGUCGUAUAAAGAAUCCCUGGUGUUUAAUUAUACGAACAACGCCUAACUCAAGCUGUUCAUAAUUCAAAUUUACAAUUAAUUUGCGUCUCUGCUCGUCAUAUAAAACACCCACUGUCCAUGCUAGAACACUCAUUUUAACGUUUGUUCGUUUCAGAGUUCAAAGAAUUGCAUUCAAGGAACAAUUUAUAGCGAAUAUAGGGCAAAAAAUGACAAAAGUGAUUUGUGUUUUCCUUCUUGCUUUUCUAAUAACUGUCAUAAACGGAUUAUAUUUAUCCAAAGACACAAACGAAGGUGACGACAAACGUAGUCUUUUCUCAGGAUAUCGUUGUUUAAGAGAUUCUGACUGUCGAUCAGCUUUUGGAAUGUUUGGUACUUGCUCGUUUAGUACGGCAUCCUGGCAUUAUGGAUUCUGCGUCUCUCAUCAUGCUCAAUACGUUUCUCUGAAUGGUGACUACGAUGAAAAUUAAAAAUGCGACUUUAGAAGAUGAAACAUAUAAUAUAUAUUUAAUAUACGAGAAUUCUACAAAAAUAAUAUCAACUGUAGUUCAGUAAAACAGUUAUAUGGCAAAGUUGUAAAAAAUUAUGCAAUAAAAUUAAAAAA